Molecule: transfer RNA, 58 nt
Filed under: Salmo salar (Atlantic salmon)
Lineage: Eukaryota; Metazoa; Chordata; Actinopteri; Salmoniformes; Salmonidae
Rfam family: tRNA
About the family: Transfer RNA (tRNA) molecules are approximately 80 nucleotides in length. Their secondary structure includes four short double-helical elements and three loops (D, anti-codon, and T loops).
Source: Rfam by way of RNAcentral
UAGCUCAGCCGGUAGAGCAUAGGGCUUGGAAAGCCAGAGUUGUGGGUUUGAUUCCCAU